Molecule: ribosomal RNA, 360 nt
Filed under: Acanthamoeba sp.
Lineage: Eukaryota; Discosea; Longamoebia; Acanthamoebidae
Description: SSU rRNA
Rfam family: Eukaryotic small subunit ribosomal RNA
Source: RNAcentral
CGUGGUUCUGUUUCUUAGCAUGGGAUAAUGGAAUAGGACCCUGACCUCCUAUUUUCAGUUGGUUUUGUUUACAGCGAGGUUAUAUCAGGGUAAUGAUUAAUAGGGAUAGUUGGGGGCAUUAAUAUUUAAUUGUCAGAAGUGAAAUUCUUGGAUUUAUGAAAGAUUAACUUCUGCGAAAGCGUUUGCCAAGGAUGUUUUCAUUAAUCAAGAACGAAAGUUAGGGGAUCGAAGACGAUCAGAUACCGUCGUAGUCUUAACCAUAAACGAUGCCGACCAGCGAUUAGGAGACGUUGAAUACAAAACACCGCUGUUAAUCCUUUCGGGGGUUAAUACUCUAAUUUUUUCUCCCUAACAAUCUGG